GUGCCAGCAGCCGCGGUAAUACCGGCAGCUCAAGUGAUGUCCCAUAUUAUUGGGCCUAAAGCGUCCGUAGCCGGCCGAGCGGGUCCGUCGGGAAAUCCACGUGCUCAACGCGUGGGCGUCCGGCGGAAACCACUCGGCUUGGGGGCGGAAGACUCGAGGGGUACGUCUGGGGUAGGAGUGAAAUCCCGUAAUCCUGGACGGACCGCCGAUGGCGAAAGCACCUCGAGAAGACGGACCCGACAGUGAGGGACGAAAGCCAGGGUCUCGAACCGGAUUAGAAACCCCUGUAGUCC
RNAcentral lists this ribosomal RNA (293 nucleotides) under uncultured bacterium. RNAcentral's name for it is "partial 16S ribosomal RNA". It matches the Rfam family "Archaeal small subunit ribosomal RNA", at positions 455 to 747 of the family's 1478-position model. The record is from RNAcentral.